UUGAACAAGGUCACAAGGCUGGUUAAAGUAGGGAAAAUAAAUGAAAUAUUUUACAGUUCAUGGCAUAAGAAUACGCCAGUUUCAGGCAUGUAGAUGAUGAUGAUGGUGGUGGUGGAGAUAAUGAUAAUGAUGAUGACAGGAACUGAAGGGCACAAUUAAGGCCUUAAAGAUCUCCUGGAUGUGGUCACUGUAACCUGUCAAGGCAUGACCUGGAAUCUUUUACAGCAUGGCUUCUCUCCUAGAAUCACAGAGUGGCCAAGAGUGAGGACGUUGACACUACACAGACCUGGGGCAGACCCGGCCCUGCUGCUGAGUGGUUGACUGGCCCCAGUUUCUCCACCUGGGAAACAGGCGGCCUUCUCUCUCUCUACGUCAUCAAGUCAGUGCAGAGCGCAUGGAGCAGCAACGCCCUGCCCAGCUCUGGGCUGCCCGCUGCGUGCUGAGGAUCCAGAGACAAACCAGCCAUGCUCCUGGCUGAGCGGAAGGUCCUCCCGAGCCUGCACAGUCUGAACUUGCUGAGGUGAGCGCUCUCUGCAUUGAGAUGACAGGGAAGGAAGCACAGGCAUUUCUGGGGGAGUCACGGGGUCGGCCUUCGAGGCCUCUCAAAGUGCUGAGGCUUAAAUGACAGGGCAUGUGGAGCUGGAGCAGGAAGUGAAAGGCAGGGGUGGGCCUCCUUAAAGAAGAGCCCUGCGGCACUGCCAUCCAUCACCCACACCACCUUCAGCAUCACCUCCCCACUAGGCCCUACCCCACCACCCCAAGGCAGUGGGGAGCCAGGCCAGGGCUCAGCACAAGAGAGCCUGGCCUCUUGUCCUUUGAUUCUAUUAUCAGCAAAUGACCUUGGGAAAGUCAGUUGACCUCUCUAAGCUUUCGUUUUCUCAUAUGCAAAGAGAGAACAACACUUAGGCAGUGCAAUCAUAUAUACAGAAAGUACUUUGGAACAAGCAA
This 948-nucleotide long non-coding RNA is filed under the name Homo sapiens (human). Its description in RNAcentral is "HSALNT0097773". Lineage: Eukaryota; Metazoa; Chordata; Mammalia; Primates; Hominidae. The record is from RNAcentral.